This 468-nucleotide ribosomal RNA is filed under the name uncultured bacterium. RNAcentral's name for it is "partial 16S ribosomal RNA". It matches the Rfam family "Bacterial small subunit ribosomal RNA", at positions 28 to 507 of the family's 1533-position model. The record is from RNAcentral.
GACGAACGCUGGCGGCGUGCUUAACACAUGCAAGUCGAACGGAAAGGCCCUGCUUUUGUGGGGUGCUCGAGUGGCGAACGGGUGAGUAACACGUGAGUAACCUGCCCUUGACUUUGGGAUAACUUCAGGAAACUGGGGCUAAUACCGGAUAGGAGCUCCUGCUGCAUGGUGUGGGUUGGAAAGUUUCGGCGGUUGGGGAUGGACUCGCGGCUUAUCAGCUUGUUGGUGUGGUAGUGGCUUACCAAGGCUUUGACGGGUAGCCGGCCUGAGAGGGUGACCGGCCACAUUGGGACUGAGGUACGGCCAAGACUCCUACGGGAGGCAGCAGUGGGAAAUAUUGCACAAUGGGCGGAAGCCUGAUGCAGCAACGCCGCGUGCGGGAUGACGGCCUUCGGGUUGUAAACCGCUUUCGCCUGUGACGAAGCGUGAGUGACGGUAAUGGGCAAAGAAGCACCGGCUAACUACGUG